Molecule: long non-coding RNA, 230 nt
Filed under: Capsicum annuum
Lineage: Eukaryota; Viridiplantae; Streptophyta; Magnoliopsida; Solanales; Solanaceae
Description: long non-coding RNA (CANN_LNC019010)
Source: RNAcentral
CAGGGAUCUUAAAGAUGGGGUUGGCUAUAGGAUUAGGGCUUGGAGUUCCUUUCUCAGGAGCGGGGGAGCUAAAAGGAAGUAUCGAGUUUUUAGUAUCUCCUAUUUGUUGGGAGAUAGUGUGAAGGACCUGAUUAGUAUAGUUGUUUUGUUCAACUAUCCUAUCGAGGUCUCUAUUAAUAGGGGAUGAUAGAGGUCUAUCAUGCUUCUUCUUAAAGGGUGAAGCAUUGAGG